This 432-nucleotide ribosomal RNA is filed under the name uncultured bacterium. RNAcentral's name for it is "partial 16S ribosomal RNA". It matches the Rfam family "Bacterial small subunit ribosomal RNA", at positions 29 to 507 of the family's 1533-position model. The record is from RNAcentral.
ACGAACGCUGGCGGCAUGCCUAACACAUGCAAGUCGAACGAGACCUUCGGGUCUAGUGGCGCCCGGGUGCGUAACGCGUGGGAACCUGCCCUUAGGUUCGGAAUAACUCCCCGAAAGGGGUGCUAAUACCGGAUAAUGUCUUCGGACCAAAGAUUUAUCGCCUUUGGAUGGGCCCGCGUUGGAUUAGCUAGUUGGUAGGGUAAAAGCCUACCAAGGCGACGAUCCAUAGCUGGUCUGAGAGGAUGAUCAGCCACACUGGGACUGAGACACGGCCCAGACUCCUACGGGAGGCAGCAGUGGGGAAUAUUGGACAAUUGGCGAAAGCCUGAUCCAGCAAUGCCGCGUGAGUGAUGAAGGCCUUAGGGUUGUAAAGCUCUUUUACCCGGGAUGAUAAUGACAGUACCGGGAGAAUAAGCUCCGGCUAACUCCGUG